UAGGGAAUCUUCCGCAAUGGACGCAAGUCUGACGGAGCAACGCCGCGUGAGUGAAGAAGGAUUUCGGUUCGUAAAACUCUGUUGUUAGAGAAGAACAGCGCAUAGAGUAACUGUUAUGCGUGUGACGGUAUCUAACCAGAAAGCCACGGCUAACUACGUGCCAGCAGCCGCGGUAAUACGUAGGUGGCAAGCGUUGUCCGGAUUUAUUGGGCGUAAAGCGAGCGCAGGCGGUCAAUUAAGUCUGAUGUGAAAGCCCCCGGCUCAACCGGGGAGGGUCAUUGGAAACUGGUUGACUUGAGUGCAGAAAAGGAGAGUGGAAUUCCAUGUGUAGCGGUGAAAUGCGUAGAUAUAUGGAGGAACACCGGUGGCGAAAGCGGCUCUCUGGUCUGUAACUGACGCUGAGGCUCGAAAGCGUGGGGAGCGAACAGG
This 429-nucleotide ribosomal RNA is filed under the name Bacteroidota bacterium. RNAcentral's name for it is "Bacteroidetes bacterium partial 16S ribosomal RNA". It matches the Rfam family "Bacterial small subunit ribosomal RNA", at positions 355 to 776 of the family's 1533-position model. Lineage: Bacteria; Pseudomonadati; Bacteroidota. The record is from RNAcentral.